UGUGAAAAAAAAAAAAAAUAGAAACCACCAGCAUGUACAAAAAUAACUGCAGACGAGUACUGAAGUCGGGCAGAACCAGCCCCGAGAGCCGCCGCGCCCCAGGCCAUGCCCCAACCGCCUCGCCGCCGCCUGAGCGGCCGCCGGAAGCCCGUGCGGCCGCAAGGAAGGCGGCGGCGGGGCUCCACCUUCCUCUCGCUCUCUCCUUCCCUCCCCCUCGCCCUCGCUUGGUAGCUCGCCAGUCAUGGCCGUGGUGGCCGACUCCGGCGUCCAGCGGCCUGAUCCACCUCCCGGGCGGCCGGAUCCGCACCCUACGCCGCCGGAUCUAGCCUCCUAGGCGCGUCGGGGGGCGGCGGCGCGGCUCCUGCGCUGUGACGGCCUGUCCGUGGCGGCGGCCGCCGCUCCCGGCGGCCAGCGGCCGGAUCCGCACCCCCGGUCGCCGGAUCUGACCUCCCUGGGGCUCGGCGGGGCGCUCGGCGGGGCGGGGUGCGGCGGCGGCGGCGUGGAGCAGUGGUGCGCGGGGGUGUUGCCUGCCGCGGCCUUGCAUUGCAGGACGCGGAGGCGGCGGCACUCGCUGCCCGCGGCGGCUGGGCACGAGGCACUGCGGUGCCGGCCGCGGCGGCGCUCGCGGCCCGGCGCGACUGGGCACAUGGCGCUCCGGUGCCGGAGUGGCGGCACUUGUUCCAGCUAGCGCGCGGCGGCAGCGCUCCCGCAGUGGUGCGUUGCUGGGCGUGGGUGUGGACGGGGGCGCCCGCGGCCUUGGCGGCCGGGGGGGUGAGCGACGGCCGCACUCGGCGCCCGGCUUGCGGCUGCGAUCUCGGCGGCGUCUGGUCUACCUGCACUGCGGUGUGUCGGCGGCGCCGUGGUGGCGUGUGCCGACAACGGUUUUGCUCGGGCGUAGCGUCGCCGUGGUGGCGUCGUUGGCUGCGGCCGUGCGGAGGCUCGCUAGCUACACCAUGGUGGUGGGUUGGUGACGCGGACCGUCUUUUCACCGUGGUGACAAUGCGGGUGAAAACCCAUCCCUCCUUGGGAUGGCAUCGAUGAUGCCAUUGGCGUCAUUUCCUUCCUGAAGGCGAUGUCGUGGAUCGUUGGCUCGGACCUGGCUCUCGUCUGUGGCCAUUGUUAUUUAGGGUUAUGGUGGCUCGUGUCGAUGUCCCAAUCCGACCAGGCGGAGUGUAGGUGGUGAUGGCUCGUGUCGAUAUCCCAAUCCGAUCGGAUGGAGCAUAGGUUGUGGUAGCUUGGGUCGAUGUCCCAAUCCGGCCAGGUGGAGUCUUUUUCUUUGUGGCUCAUGUCGAUAUCCCAAUCCGACCAGCCAAAGUUGAGUGAGGCCCGGUUGAUGUCCCAAUCCAACCAGCUGGUGUUGCUAGUUGUAGGUGUUGUAGUGGUAGGUUUGUAUUUCGAUUGUGCAGUUUUUGGGCCCGGUUUAUCUAUAAACAGGGUCAACUCUCUUCUUCUUAUUAAUGUACGCCGAACCUUGCGGUUCGGGAUCUUUUAAAAAAAAAUGUUGUAGACUGGUAGGCUAAAUAUUGAUCGGAAGACAGCAUGAGUAGACUUGCAUA
Molecule: long non-coding RNA, 1556 nt
Organism: Panicum virgatum (switchgrass)
Lineage: Eukaryota; Viridiplantae; Streptophyta; Magnoliopsida; Poales; Poaceae
Exons: 2
Source: RefSeq, a predicted model, not a curated record